AGUGAACGCUGGCGGUAUGCCUAACACAUGCAAGUCGAACGACCGCACAAUAAGCGUUUUCCCUUACGGUUAGCGAGUGGCGGACGGGUGAGAAAUGCAUCGGCAUCCUCUUUUUCGUGGAGGAUAACGUAGGAAAACUUAUGCUAACACCGCAUACAUCCAACGGCUGAAAUCAAUGGUUCUACGCACCUUUCCUGAUUGUAUUAGCCGAUGUCGGAUUACCUAGUUGGCUGGGUAAGGGCCCACCAAGGCGACGAUCCGUAGCUGGUCUGAGAGGAUGAUCAGCCACACUGGAACUGAGACACGGUCCAGACUCCUACGGGAGGCAGCAGUGGGGAAUAUUGGACAAUGGGCGCAAGCCUGAUCCAGCCAUACCGCGUGAGUGAAGAAGGCCUUCGGGUUGUAAAGCCCUUUUGUUGGGAAAGAAAAACAGCAGGUUAAUCCCCCGCUGUUCUGACGGUACCCAAAGAAUAAGCACCGGCUAACUUCGUG
This 492-nucleotide ribosomal RNA is filed under the name uncultured bacterium. RNAcentral describes it as "partial 16S ribosomal RNA". It matches the Rfam family "Bacterial small subunit ribosomal RNA", at positions 29 to 507 of the family's 1533-position model. The record is from RNAcentral.